Long non-coding RNA from Perca flavescens (yellow perch), 1668 nucleotides. RefSeq lists it as uncharacterized. The transcript is spliced from 3 exons. The record is from RefSeq and is a predicted model, not a curated record. NCBI's taxonomy places the organism in Eukaryota, Metazoa, Chordata, Actinopteri, Perciformes, Percidae.
CACGACUUUCUACGUAGCAAGUAGUGCUAACGCAACUUGUCAUGUCAUAAAACCAAACUAAGAAGAAAAAGAUAUAAUUAUUUUGUUUAUCAAAGUAGAGGAGUUUGUUAUAUACGUUUAUUAAUGUCUUUAAUUUAGCUAACUCCACAGGGAGUUCGGGUGAGGAGAGAAUGAGAUUCCAUUGGAGGGAAGCAACCGUGUUUUUAAAUAAGCUUGCGAGAAAUUGCUAGCUAGCUAGCUAGCUCAACAGGUGGAGCAGAGGUGCUGCAGUGCGUUUCACCUGGAAACAACUAAAAUGUAUAGGAGCAGCGGCCAAGGGACCAGCUCCAGUUCUGAGGCCAGCACCUCCGUCUAUUGGAGAAGCCAAUUAACAUGAUUGACCAGCAGUACAGAGGAAGGUGAACCAUGAUGGCCCUCAGCAAAAAGACUGAAGAAAAAGAAAACAGCAGCUGAUGAUAGUGUAGCCUCAUCAAGCAAGAAUACUACUACUGGUCCUUUUUCACCUGUCAUCACGGGUGGGAGUGAGCAAUGGUAACCCCCCACUCCUCCCUUUUGCUAACCAGUAUCUGCCCUAUUAGCAAUUUAUAAUGGAGAUCAAGAAGUAGUCAGUGGAGAAUGAAGACAACUGUCUGCAUCCAUUCCUAAUUGGCUUUAUGUUCUCUUCCUGAUAAAUGGUUUGCAACUACUACAGAGUCCUGUGGAUUUUAUUGCCCUAAUAGGACUCAGUAACUGGAUUUACUAACAGAUAGCGGGUCAAAAAGGACAUAGAGAGCAAAAAUGUUAAUUAAUAUCAAUAAUGGCCAAUUAUUAGUUUGACAGAGGGAUCCAAGCUAGCUGUGUGCUCUAAUGACUCUGAGCUAACUUGAAGGGAAACACUGGCGAAUUAGCAUAACUGUGUAUGCACACUCCAUGGAGGUGCCCAGCAAACAUCUGUUAUGUUAGAAAUUCAAAUACAAUUCCUAUUAGUAACCCUAGCUGUGGUUGCAUAAUCAGUCAUUCUUCUCUGGCCAUUUUGGAGGCACUAACAAUGCCCCUGUGACUGGUGGAGCUCCUCCCUUUGGGCUUUCCAAUCAAAUUUGGCCCCAUGUGGACCAGGUCCUAACAACAGACGAGGCAAUGUGGACUUCUGAGGGGAGCUUUGUGCUCUGACAGGAGCUCAAUCUAUCCACCCAUGACACAUGACUGAAGAAAGGAAAACUGUUAUAUUAUAAUAUGAAUACAGCAGAUAUGAGUUAAGGAAUAAAUGUUGAAAUAUAGCUUUCUGACCUGCUGGGAUAAAGCUUCUUAUUUUCCUGCACCCUUUGUGUGUUUCUAUCCACAUGCAAAGUGUAUUUGGAAGCACUGAAUUGUUUGCAUGUUGUAUUUAUGACAUGAAUUCUACUUCAAUACUGAAUAAAAUAGUAUAAAAGAAGAUGGUAAACAGGGAUUUAUUAAUUCAUACUGCGGUCAUCUGAAGACAGCAGCUUCUGUGGGAUAUUGAAAAGAGAAAAUAUUCAGCAAAGUAAUUGAUCUUCUAUUUGGAGCAAAUAAUGUUUCUGUACCUUAUGGGAAUUACUGCAUUCUACUGUAUUGAUGCUAGCAGGCAUCUUGCGCUUUCUUUGUAAUCAAUGGCUGAAUAAAUGCCCUCAAAGACAAAAAUCAUCAACAUCCAUCCUUAAUAUCUGUAUA